Long non-coding RNA from Micropterus dolomieu (smallmouth bass), 625 nucleotides. RefSeq lists it as uncharacterized. The transcript has 4 exons. NCBI's taxonomy places the organism in Eukaryota, Metazoa, Chordata, Actinopteri, Centrarchiformes, Centrarchidae. The record is from RefSeq and is a predicted model, not a curated record.
GAACAGAAGAGGACGUCUUAACUCCACCUUACAUCUGAUUGUUGUGGCAGGGAAUUCAACAAUAGUAAUGAAUAUCAUCAGGUUGACUCUGGUGGUCUUGAUGCUGAUUCCUCUGCUUCUCCUGAAUCUGUGGACGAGGAAGAAGAAAACUCGGAGCUCCACCUCUGAACCAAAUGAACAUGUAGAGACGAUAGAGAUGCAGCUGAACCAGACUCACCUCAUGGAAACAAAGUAGGACAUCAUUGAAAUAUCCCUGUAGAGAGCGAGGCUGUGGAGGAAGUGGAUCCAUUUACAUUCAACUCCAAAAGUUUUCCUUUUCAGUUUUCAGUAGCAGCAGCAGGGUGGAGUCAGCAGCAGCAGUCAGCAGCAGCAUGUAGCAGAAAGUUUAGAAGAAGGUGGUGUUGGCAGGUUGAACUGAAUCAUGUCGACGUUUCAGACGUGAUUUAUUGUUUAGAUCAGCUGAUGGUCAGGUUGUCUGUGACUUAAUGUCUUAACUUACUGCUUAAACAAUGUGAGCGUAUUAGUUCCAGUAGAGUUAAAUAUUAGUUUUAUUACAUAAUAUGAGGACUAAAGUUUUAUAAUAAACAUAAUAAAUAACUUUUGAAAAUUCCUCAUGAGCUUCUGG